CCUACGGGUGGCUGCAGUCGAGGAUCUUCGGCAAUGGGCGCAAGCCUGACCGAGCGACGCCGCGUGUGCGAUGAAGGCCUUCGGGUUGUAAAGCACUGUCGAGGGGGAGAAAAGCCCGCAAGGGUCUGAUCUAUCCCUGGAGGAAGCAAGGGCUAAGUUCGUGCCAGCAGCCGCGGUAAGACGAACCGUGCGAACGUUGUUCGGAUUCACUGGGCUUAAAGGGCGCGUAGGCGGACGGUCAAGUCGGGGGUGAAAUCUUUCAGCUUAACUGGAAACGUGCCUUCGAUACUGAUCGUCUCGAGGGAGGCAGGGGCAUGCGGAACUUCCGGUGGAGCGGUGAAAUGCGUAGAUAUCGGAAGGAACGCCGGUGGCGAAAGCGGCGUGCUGGACCUCUUCUGACGCUGAGGCGCGAAAGCCAGGGGAGCGAACGGGAUUAGAUA
Molecule: ribosomal RNA, 440 nt
Filed under: uncultured bacterium
Lineage: Bacteria
Description: bacterial SSU rRNA
Rfam family: Bacterial small subunit ribosomal RNA
Source: RNAcentral